GCGGACGGGUGAGUAACACGUGGGCAACCUGCCUGUAAGACUGGGAUAACUCCGGGAAACCGGGGCUAAUACCGGAUAACACUUUGAACUGCAUGGUUCGAAGAUGAAAGACGGCUUUUGCUGUCACUUACAGAUGGGCCUGCGGCGCAUUAGCUAGUUGGUGGGGUAAAAGCCUACCAAGGCCACGAUGCGUAGCCGACCUGAGAGGGUGAUCGGCCACACUGGGACUGAGACACGGCCCAGACUCCUACGGGAGGCAGCAGUAGGGAAUCUUCCGCAAU
RNAcentral lists this ribosomal RNA (281 nucleotides) under Salinibacillus xinjiangensis. RNAcentral's name for it is "Bacterial small subunit ribosomal RNA". It matches the Rfam family "Bacterial small subunit ribosomal RNA", at positions 98 to 372 of the family's 1533-position model. Lineage: Bacteria; Bacillati; Bacillota; Bacilli; Caryophanales; Bacillaceae. The record is from Rfam by way of RNAcentral.